CCAAACUCUAGUCGGUGACGCAGGCGAUGUGAAUAUAACAGAAUAUAAUGGAAACGAAAAUUAUGAAGCUGUGUUGCGUUUAAAACUCGCUAACGAGGAAGAUAAGGACGUCAGUCGCCAUUGUACUGAAUGGAUGCAAAAAUUUUGUACUGCUACAAAAACUCAGUGGAUAGUAAGGAUAUCGUGGCCUAACUUGAAGAAGUUAAUUUACCGGAAGUUUUAUGUUUGCCACUAUAGUAAUUUCAAUAAGGCAUCAAAUGAAAAGAGAAGACGUAAGCUUUGCCGUCAGAAGGGAAAGGAUUGUAAAGCAUCAGUUGACAUAAAAAUUAAAAAGAUUAAUAAGGAUACUAAAAAAAGGCUUUUCAGCUCUUGUAUUUAUAUCUUUUAAACAUAAACAUCAUAUUCACGUCGCAGAAGCUUAUAGUUUUCUUAAGAUUUCCACAUAAACAAAAUCAAUGUUUUUUCAAUAUUUUGAUGAUGGGCUGGGUCCAACAGUGGUGAAGAAUAUGCAUGAAAUGAAGCUCCUAAGCAUUUACAGGAAUAAUUCGGAUGUAACAAGUCAGAAAACUGUUGAAAUAUUAGCCGAUUGUCAACAAAAUCCGAAAGACAAAGAAAUUAAUUAUUUGUAUGAUGUCUGGAGACGUAAACAUUUUGGUGAUAGAAAACUAGAAAACAUAGUUUCUAAAUUGGCGCAGAAACAAAAGAAAUAUGCCCAAAAUGGUUUCGAAGUGUAUAUUGAAGAAGAUCCCUUCGUGGUCUUGAUAAUAUCUCCUAUAAUGCAAAGAGCGGAUAGUCGACGAUUUGCGGGAGAGAUAUGUUUCAUUGAUUCCACUGGAUCAUGUGACCAGACAUCGACCGUUGUUGAUUUUAUUAUAGGUGGUAGUAAAGUUGGAGGCAUUCCAUUAGCAUGCUUAUUGCAUACUUCUCAAACAGAAUUGAAUUAUACAUCGUGUUUUUAGCUUCUGAAAAAAUUCACUCCAAAUGGUUUUGGUGGUAAUGGCUCGCUUAAUAUUAUUAUGACCGGUGAUUCACAUGCCGAGCGAAAUGCUUUAAAAUUGGUGUAUCCUCAUUCAAAAUUACUACUUUGUAGUUUUCAUAUUUGUCAGGCAGUCUGGCGAUGGCUAUGUGAUACAAAAAAUGGUAUUGACAAGAGUGAUAGAAAAAAACUAAUGAAUGAGUUUAGGUCCGUUUUGUAUGCUUCUUCUUCUGAAGAAUGUGUAGAGAUAUAUAAUGAACUGCAUAAUUCCUGCAGAUAUCAAAAUUUCUCCAAAUACUUGACAACAUUAUGGAAACGCAAGGAUGAAUGUUGUUCACAUUAUAGAAAAGCUUUAAUUACCAGAGGACAUAAUACAAAUAAUUUAGUUGAAUCUUCCAUAAGAGUUCUAAAAGAUAUAGUUUUGGAGCGGUGCAAGACAUUCAAUGCCGUAGCUUUGUUAGAAAUUAUUAUUAACGUUCUUGAAAAGUACCAUUUCAGGCGACUAAUUGCUUAUGCCAAUUACCGGCAUAAUACAAAUGAAAUAUUGUUCAGUAAAUUAUUGGGAAGAGCCGAAAAUUUACUGGUGCAAAAAAAAAGACAAUCAAACAUACUUAGUUGCUUCAUCAGAUCCGAAAAUGUUCUAUACAGUACAUCUGGAUUAGUUUCCUUGUGAGCAGUUACAAAGGACAUGGACGAAAAAUAAAAGUUCAACCGAGCGCUUUAAGUCGAAGGAGUCAAGGGGUAAAACGAGGUUCGCAAAGGAUGCAAAGUGGGCGUCCUGCAAAGAAAAGGUCACAUUCCCUAGCAAGUAAUAUUAAUGAAGAUAAGCUAAGUGCAAAAAUUCACUAGCAAACAAUAUAUUUCGUUUAUAAUUUGGAAAUGCGAUAUUUAAAAUUUAGAGUUAAUAUUAAUAAUGUGCGCAUUCCAAAUCACUAAUUA
Molecule: long non-coding RNA, 1915 nt
Organism: Anthonomus grandis grandis
Lineage: Eukaryota; Metazoa; Arthropoda; Insecta; Coleoptera; Curculionidae
Exons: 4
Source: RefSeq, a predicted model, not a curated record